RNAcentral lists this ribosomal RNA (657 nucleotides) under Salmonella enterica subsp. enterica serovar Durham. RNAcentral describes it as "partial 23S ribosomal RNA". It matches the Rfam family "Bacterial large subunit ribosomal RNA", at positions 527 to 1190 of the family's 2925-position model. Lineage: Bacteria; Pseudomonadati; Pseudomonadota; Gammaproteobacteria; Enterobacterales; Enterobacteriaceae. The record is from RNAcentral.
CGGUUAACGGAGCGAAAGCGACGUUCAACCGCAAAAGAAGCAGAGGGGGCUUAGUGGUGGGGUGACUGCGUACCUUUUGUAUAAUGGGUCAGCGACUUAUAUUCUGUAGCAAGGUUAACCGUAUAGGGGAGCCGGAGGGAAACCGAGUCUUAACCGGGCGUUAAGUUGCAGGGUAUAGACCCGAAACCCGGUGAUCUAGCCAUGGGCAGGUUGAAGGUUGGGUAACACUAACUGGAGGACCGAACCGACUAAUGUUGAAAAAUUAGCGGAUGACCUGUGGCUGGGGGUGAAAGGCCAAUCAAACCGGGAGAUAGCUGGUUCUCCCCGAAAGCUAUUUAGGUAGCGCCUCGUGAAUUCAUCUCCGGGGGUAGAGCACUGUUUCGGCUAGGGGGCCAUCCCGGCUUACCAACCCGAUGCAAACUGCGAAUACCGGAGAAUGUUAUCACGGGAGACACACGGCGGGUGCUAACGUCCGUCGUGAAGAGGGAAACAACCCAGACCGCCAGCUAAGGUCCCAAAGUCAUGGUUAAGUGGGAAACGAUGUGGGAAGGCCCAGACAGCCAGGAUGUUGGCUUAGAAGCAGCCAUCAUUUAAAGAAAGCGUAAUAGCUCACUGGUCGAGUCGGCCUGCGCGGAAGAUGUAACGGGGCUAAACCAU